RNAcentral lists this unclassified non-coding RNA (336 nucleotides) under soil metagenome. RNAcentral describes it as "partial contains 5.8S ribosomal RNA, internal transcribed spacer 2, and large subunit ribosomal RNA". The stretch from base 1 to 120 matches the Rfam family "5.8S ribosomal RNA", at positions 35 to 154 of the family's 154-position model. The record is from RNAcentral.
GAUGAAGAACGUAGCGAAAUGCGAUAAGUAAUGUGAAUUGCAGAAUUCAGUGAAUCAUCGAAUCUUUGAACGCACAUUGCGCCCUCUGGUAUUCCGGGGGGCAUGCCUGUUCGAGCGUCAUUUCAACCAUCAAGCCCCCGGCUUGUGUUGGGGACCUGCGGCUGCCGCAGGCCCUGAAAACCAGUGGCGGGCUCGCUGUCACACCGAGCGUAGUAGAUUUUCAUCUCGCUCAGGGCGUGCUGCGGGUUCCGGCCGUAAAAAGCCUUAUUUACCCAAGGUUGACCUCGGAUCAGGUAGGAAGACCCGCUGAACUUAAGCAUAUCAAUAAGCGGAGGA